CUCUGUGACUCCUACGGGAGGCAGCAGUUGGGGAAUAUUUGCACAAUUGGGCGCAAGCCUGAUGCAGCAACGCCGUGUGAGUGAAGAAGGUUUUCGGAUCGUAAAACUCUGUCCUAAGGGAAGAAACAAAUGACGGUACCUUAGGAGGAAGCCCCCGGCUAACUACGUGCCAGCAGCCGCGGUAAUACGUAGGGGGCAAGCGUUAUCCGGAAUCACUGGGCGUAAAGGGUGCGUAGGCGGCUUAGCAAGCCAGGGGUGAAAGGCAUUGGCUCAACCAAUGUAAGCCUUUGGAACUGUUAAGCUUGAGUGCAGGAGAGGUAAGUGGAAUUCCCUAGUGUAGAGGUGAAAAUUCGUAGAUAUUAGGAGGAACACCAGUGGCGAAGGCGACUUACUGGACUGUAACUGACGCUGAUGCACGAAAGCGUGGGUAGCGAACAGGAUUAGAUACCCUGGUAG
This 456-nucleotide ribosomal RNA is filed under the name uncultured bacterium. RNAcentral describes it as "bacterial SSU rRNA". It matches the Rfam family "Bacterial small subunit ribosomal RNA", at positions 328 to 793 of the family's 1533-position model. The record is from RNAcentral.